This is a long non-coding RNA of Oenanthe melanoleuca, 438 nucleotides long. RefSeq lists it as uncharacterized. Lineage: Eukaryota; Metazoa; Chordata; Aves; Passeriformes; Muscicapidae. The transcript is spliced from 2 exons. The record is from RefSeq and is a predicted model, not a curated record.
GGGCCGGAGCGGGCCGCUCACCGGCGGCGCUUACCUGCUGGGGAGCCGGGCGCGGACCUGCCGCGGAACACGGCCGGAGAGCAGCACUGGGGGCUCGGUUCAUGACUUGAGGUUCUUGGGGCCUCCUUGUGGACAUUUCUACUCCUCCCAACAAGCGGGUGCAGCAGAAUGAGUUUGUCAACACGUAUGCGGCUAGCAGACACUUGGCUUUCUGUGAAACUCGUGCAACUGCAGGGUCGGGGUGAUGGGAAAGAGGAGUGACCAAGGACAGCACACCCGAGUCACCCCCACCCUGCCGCCGCCGGCAUGGGGAGACAGGAGACGGAGGCACUGGGUCUGCAGAUCGCGCAGACUGAGCUCCAGACUUCAUUUCACAAGGAGACCAUACCCACGGGAUUUACUGUACAGAAAGAAUAAACUCAAAAAGCGUACAAAUUA